GGCUACCAUGCAGUCGAGGGGCAGCAUUUCAGUUUGCUUGCAAACUGGAGAUGGCGACCCNUUNACGGGCUGAGUAACACGCUAUCCAACCUGCCGAUAACUCGGNGAUAGCCUUUCGAAAGAAAGAUUAAUACCCGAUGGNAUAAUCAGACCGCANGGUCUNAUUAUUAAAGAAUUUCGGUUAUCGAUGGGGAUGCGUUCCAUUAGGCAGUUGGUGAGGUAACGGCUCACCAAACCUUCGAUGGAUAGGGGUUCUGAGAGGAAGGUCCCCCACAUUGGAACUGAGACACGGUCCAAACUCAUACGGGAGGCAGCAGUGAGGAAUAUUGGUCAAUGGGCGCAGGCCUGAACCAGCCAAGUAGCGUGAAGGAUGACUGCCCUAUGGGUUGUAAACUUCUUUUAUAUGGGAAUAAAGUUUUCCACGUGUGGAAUUUUGUAUGUACCAUAUGAAUAAGGAUCGGCUAACUCCGUGCCAGCAGCCGCGGUAAUACGGAGGAUCCGAGCGUUAUCCGGAUUUAUUGGGUUUAAAGGGAGCGUAGGUGGACAGUUAAGUCAGUUGUGAAAGUUUGCGGCUCAACCGUAAAAUUGCAGUUGAUACUGGCUGUCUUGAGUACAGUAGAGGUGGGCGGAAUUCGUGGUGUAGCGGUGAAAUGCUUAGAUAUCACGAAGAACUCCGAUUGCGAAGGCAGCUCACUGGACUGCAACUGACACUGAUGCUCGAAAGUGUGGGUAUCAAACAGGAUUAGAUACCCUGGUAGUCCACACAGUAAACGAUGAAUACUCGCUGUUUGCGAUAUACAGUAAGCGGCCAAGCGAAAGCAUUAAGUAUUCCACCUGGGGAGUACGCCGGCAACGGUGAAACUCAAAGGAAUUGACGGGGGCCCGCACAAGCGGAGGAACAUGUGGUUUAAUUCGAUGAUACGCGAGGAACCUUACCCGGGCUUAAAUUGCAUUUGAAUANUNUGGAAACAGNNUAGCCGCAAGGCAAAUGUGAAGGUGCUGCAUGGUUGUCGUCAGCUCGUGCCGUGAGGUGUCGGCUUAAGUGCCAUAACGAGCGCAACCCUUAUCUUUAGUUACUAACAGGUCAUGCUGAGGACUCUAGAGAGACUGCCGUCGUAAGAUGUGAGGAAGGUGGGGAUGACGUCAAAUCAGCACGGCCCUUACGUCCGGGGCUACACACGUGUUACAAUGGGGGGUACAGAAGGCAGCUACCUGGUGACAGGAUGCUAAUCCCAAAAGCCUCUCUCAGUUCGGAUCGAAGUCUGCAACCCGACUUCGUGAAGCUGGAUUCGCUAGUAAUCGCGCAUCAGCCAUGGCGCGGUGAAUACGUUCCCGGGCCUUGUACACACCGCCCGUCAAGCCAUGAAAGCCGGGGGUACCUGAAGUACGUACCGCAAGAGCUCCUAGG
This 1408-nucleotide ribosomal RNA is filed under the name bacterium NLAE-zl-P848. Its description in RNAcentral is "bacterial SSU rRNA". It matches the Rfam family "Bacterial small subunit ribosomal RNA". The record is from RNAcentral.